Non-coding RNA from Arachis ipaensis, 517 nucleotides. NCBI's taxonomy places the organism in Eukaryota, Viridiplantae, Streptophyta, Magnoliopsida, Fabales, Fabaceae. The record is from RefSeq and is a predicted model, not a curated record.
AGAAAGAUCGGCGGAAGGGGUUCCUGUUCUGCGGGCGUGCCUCCGCCGUCGCGGGUCCUCCGUUGCCCUUCCACCACCGCUGAUGUCCUCCACCGCCGUUGCUUGCCGUUUGAAGCUGCUGCAUCGCCACUGCUGGAGGUCUGCCCCGAUCUGGUCUGAGGGAGAGGAAAUGCAAACGGAAGAGGAGGCGGAGAGCCAUCGCUGCUGUUGCUGAACCACGGGAGUUGCUGCGAGGCUCGGCCACCGGAGAACGCCACUGCUGUCGUCAAUGGCCGCUGCCGUCGCCGUCACCAGGGUUUUCGCUCGCGACUGUCACUUAGGGUUAUUAGUGGAGCUAUUGCCGGGUCGAUUCGGAAUCGCAGCUGCUUCAUUUUGUUAUUUCGGUAAGUAAUUAUGUUUCGAAAAGUCUCGCGUUAGUAUUCUGUUGUAUUUGAUUAAUGAAUAUGAGUUUUGGUAACGUGGGGUCGAUCCUGAUUUUUAUAUGUUGCGAUUAGAGUUGUUGUGGUUGUUAAGAAAG